UCAACUCUAAGUAAGAGAAAACCUAAAUUCAAGUUGUGCUACAAGUAGUAGUAGUUGUGUUGUCAACUCAAAACAAGAGGAAACUUAAAUUCAAGUUGUGCUACUAGUAGUAGUAGUUGUGUUGUUGUCAACUCUAAGCAAGACAAAGUAGUAAUAGUAGUAGUAGUUCUGCUGUUGUUAACUCUAAGAAAGAGGAAACCUAAAUUCAAGUUGUGCUACAAGUAGUAGUAGUAGUAGUAGUAGUAGUUGUUGUUGUUCUAUUGUUGUCAACUCUAAACAAGAGGAAACCUAACUUCAGUUGUGCUACAAGUAGUAGUUUCAAGUUGUUCUACAAGCAGUAGUUUCAAGUUGUGCUACAAGUAAUAGUAGUUGUGUUGUCAACUCUAAAUGAGGAAACUUAAAUUCAAGUUGUGCUACUAGUAGUAGUUAUUGUGUUGUGGUCAAGUCUAAGCAAGACAAAGUAGUAAUAGUAGCAAUACUUCUGCUGUUUUUAACUCUAAGAGAAAACAUAAAUUCAAGUUGUGCUACAAGUAGUAGUAGUAGUUGUGUUGUUGUCAACUCUAAAAGAGAAGAAACAUAAAUUAGUUGUGCUACAAGUAGUAGUUUCAAGUUGUGCUACAAGUAGUAGUCUCAAGUUGUGCUACAAGUAGUAGUAAUAGUAGUUGUGUUGUUGUCAACUCUAAACAAGAGGAAACCUAAAUUCAGUUGUGCUACAAGUAGUAGUUUCAAGUUGUUCUACAAGCAGUAGUUUCAAGAUGUGCUACAAGUAGUAGUAGUUGUGUUGUCAACUCUAAACAAGAGAAAACUUAAAUUCAAGUUUUGUUCUACAAGCAGUAGUUUCAAGUUGUGCUACAAGUAGUAGUAGUUGUGUUGUCAACUCUAAACAAGAGGAAACUUAAAUUCAGGUUGUGCUACAAGUAGUAGUAGUUGUGUUGUUGUCAUGUCUAAGCAAGACAAAGUAGUAAUAGUAACAGUAGUUCUGCUGUUGUUAACUCUAAGAAAGAGGAAACCUAAAUUCAAGUUGUGCUACAAGCAGUAGUAGUGAAAACCUAAAUUCAAGUUGUGCUACAAGCAGCAGCAGUAGUAGUAGUAGUAGUAGUAGUAGUAGUAGUUGUUGUGUUGUUGUCAACUCUAAACAAAAGGAAACCUAAAUUCAAGUUGAGUUAUGCUACAAGUACUAGUAGUAGUUAUUGUGUUGUUGUCAACUCUAAACAAGAGGAAACCUAAAUUCAAGUUGUGCUACAAGUAGUAGUUUUAAUUUGUGCUACAAGUAGUAGUUGUUGUGUUGUCAACUCUAAACAAGAGGAAACCUAAAUUCAAAUUGUGCUACAAGUAGCAGUUUCAAGAAGUAGUAGUAGUAGUGUUAGUAAUAGUGUUGCAACUCUAAGCAAGAGAAAACCUAAAUUCAAGUUGUGUUGUUGUCAACUAUAAGAAAGACGAAGUAUUAGUUGUGUUAAAUUCAAUUCUAAGGUAGAGGAAACCUAAAUUCAAGUUGUAGUAGUGGUUGUGGUGCUGUCAACUCUAAGCAAGAGAAAAUAGUAAUAGUAGUUGUGUUGUUGUCAACUCUAAGCAAGAGGAAAUCUAAAUUUAGGUUGUGUUACAAGUAGUAGUUUCAUUGUCAACUUGUCAACUCUAAGCAAGAGGAAACCUAAAUUCAAAUUCUGUUACAAGUAGUAGUUUCAAGUUGUGCUACAAGUAGUAGUAAUAGUAGUGUUGCAACUCUAAGUAAGAGAAAACUUCCAUUCAAGUUGUGCUGCAGUCAAUUCUAAACAAGAGUAAUACGUGCUCAAGAGUAUCAAAGAGAAACUAGUAGUAGUAGUAGUAGUAGACAACAUAAAUGAAAUCAGAAAUGAUCAAAAUGAAG
Non-coding RNA from Arachis ipaensis, 1864 nucleotides. NCBI's taxonomy places the organism in Eukaryota, Viridiplantae, Streptophyta, Magnoliopsida, Fabales, Fabaceae. The record is from RefSeq and is a predicted model, not a curated record.